UUCUUAAGGUUAUUUAUAUGGUAUAUUACAUUAAUUUGUGUCUACUGAGCCGGCUUCAUCUCUGAAAUAAAGCUAAUAUAUCUGCUAAAUCCAUUUGAGCAGUGGUAUAGCUUAAAGUUUCCUUGUAGAUUUUUAAUUUGAAUGACUUGUGUAGAGAUGAAAACUGACAAUAGAAUCUCCCACUAUGUUGCACUUACACCCAUGUGACUUGUAAAUGCCUGUUCAUGUCUGUAUGAAGUCAUGAGCCACAGUGUUUGCUGCAUGUUUAUUCACAGUAGUUGCAGCUGCUCUUCAGUUGUUCCCUUUAUUACAAUAUGCUGACCUUCUUUUUGUUUGUUCUAAUUUAAUUUCAGGUUAUCAGCUAUCAAAAUACUAUGCCUUGUAUUUGGUUUCCAUUUGUUUGGCAUGCUGACUUCCAUCUUUUGACUCUCAGUGUGGGUAUCCUCUAGAGAGAUGCUUCUUGGAUACAUUAGUUUGAGGUCAUCUGUUCCUAGAAACUGUGUACUAACCACUAUAAUUCUGUUGCUUAGACUCUUGUUCUUUUCCCUCCUGCCAGGGGUUUUCUGGUGUAUUGCAUCAGACAUGAUGGAUUCCUUCUGAGCUCACCUUUGUUUGCUACUCUGUGAAAGUCUUACUCCCUUAUUCUCUCAUGAUUGAGAGUGUUUUUGCAUCUUCCUCUGUGUAUAAUAUUCCUUUAACUAUCUUCUGUAAUGCUAAGUUGGUGGUCAUGAACUGCCUUAAUUUGUGCUUAUCUUCAAAUAUUCGUAUUUCUUUAUCAGUUUUGAAAGAUAAUACUGCUGAGUAUAGCAACUGGGUCAGCACACUUGAGCUCUCUCGUUCCAUGAUUUCCCAACUGAAGUGACGGAUGAGAGGCUGAUGUUCCUCUGAUGGUUAUGUCUCUGUAGGUAAGCUGAUGGGUUCCUCUCAUGGCUUUUAACCUUGUUUCUUUGUAUUCCUGUUGUCCUGGCUGUUAUGUGCCAUGGACACAUUGUUAUCUGCUCAUGUCUGUUUGGCUGUUAUCCGCUCAUGUCUGUCUGGCAUUCUGCAUGAGCUUUUGUGUUUUGAUGUCCAUUUCAUUCUCUAGAUCUGUGAAAUUUUCUGCUAAGGUUUUAUGGGCUGCAUGCCUGCCAUUCUUACCUAAGUUUCUACCCACGGUUCUUAGGUUGGAUUGCAGAGUUCUUGGGCUUUAAGGUAAAAACCCUUUAUUGUUUUCUUUAUGGGUAUUGGAAUGCAGGGUUUGUCUUUUGUGCUCUCCAGCCCUGAAACUCUUUCUUCCUCUUGGUCAGAUUUCUUGGCAAUUGGAUUGCCAAAAAGUGGAUUGCUUUCCACUGUUUCUUUAUUUGAUUCGUUGAGUUUAUUUCUAAGUUUCUUUUUUUCAAAACCUCAAUUUCCUUAUUGAUUUUCCCCCUUACCCAUAUUUUUCAUCCAUAUUACUGAGAGUCAGUCUCUCUCUCUCACACACACACACAUGCACACUUUUUUCAAUUUUUUUUUACAUUUCUGACUUCAUUCCAAGUCCUGCUUUUUAAUCCUACAGCUUGUUUGCAUAUUCUUUAAGGUCACUUAUUAUUUUGACUAAUACACUCUUGAAGUCUCAUCUGACACUUUACCAUUUCAGUAAUAUCAUUGAAUUCAAUAAUUGAGUUGGGGUCUUUUGAAAUCACACUGUGUGCUCACUCUUUCUCUCCCUCUGUCUCUGUCUCUGUCUCUGUGUGUGUGUGUGUGUGUCCCUCCCUCUUUUCCCUCCCAUCCCUAUGAGCAUCCCUUCUCCCUACAAGCCCAUUUCCCACAUUCUUGUCUUGGUUUAGAGACCUGUAUUCCUAAAUACUAAAGAGACACAUUUCUUUUUGUUAAAUCCAGAACUCUUAUUUGAAAAUAUUUUCAAUCAGUAAUCAUAUAGAUUUGAAAAACUACUUUGGUUUAUCUUUAAUGGCAUAUAAAACAAAGAACAGUAAUCCUGUGACCAUAAACAGAAGGUGGUUAGGAAUGUGGGCAUGCAAUCUGGGAGGUAAUGAAGCGUGUUCAUCCUUUCAUCGAGUCUAGGAUGCGUAUAUUCAUGUGUCUGUGGGACAGUUAAAAGAUAAUAAAGACAGUACUGACAUCCCAUCUUUUCUAUAAAUGUUUAGUGCCUUAAAAACAUCGUAGCUUUUUUAAUUUCCUACAUGUAAUUGUUUUGAAGUAUAUACUUAGGUAACUAUUUAAUUUUAGCAUUUAUUCAAGAUUCUUACUGGAAGAAUCUAACAAAUUUCUUUAUAGAUUUUAUUUCCCAAAUUGUAUUGCUGGUAAAUUGUUACAGCAGCUGUAGUUAGGUCCUCAAGUGCGAGAAUAUCUGUACUGCUUUCAUGCUCUAAAACUCCAAGAUAACACUCGGUGAUAGACUAGAAAGGAAAUAAAUAGAAUUCCCAGAACUACUAGUGAGGGGCUGAUGAUGCAUUAGCUCUUGGAAAGACGGCUCCUGCCUGCUGAGGGUGAGAAGGAAGUGCCUCCCUAUAAAGCCAGCCAGAUGAGAUAUGGUGAGGGCUAGAUUUACCUCAGCUUUCUAGCCAUGUGACCAUAAAGUAUCUGAAAAUAGAAUAACUUGCAUUUGACUUGAACAUAGACAGACUUUGUGGGAUACAUUUCUAGACUUGAAGCCAAUACGGUUGUGAACUGAGGCUGUUUCUUCAGAGGCCUGUUGUCUUGUCUUGUCUCUUGUAAAGCAGAGGUGCUUUACAGCCUCUCUCUCAGCCUCAGGGCUCCUUGUCUUUGGUGUCCUUGUUUCUGCACUUCCUUGCCUGUUGCUCUUUAGCCUUUGACCCACACUCUGCUUGCUUGUUUCCUCUUCCUAGGUCUGUAAGGUCAUGAAUGAGACAUUAGCAGAGAACAGGAUCUAAAAUGUAAGGAUCGUGGGUUUGCCCACUGCCUCUCCUCAGCUCUGUCAAGGCCUGUGGAGUCUCUGAGCUCUGCGCCUGCCUGAGUGUUUUAGGAGGAGCAUCACAGCUCCCCGUGUUUGAGACAUGGUGCUGCCAUUGCUUACCAAAUAACUUUUUAGCCAUUGCCUUUCCUCAUCACCUGGAGCAGGGCUGACAGUUUUAUAAGGUCAUGUAGCAAGUUCAUCUGGGGCUUAGAGCUUCUGCCUGAGCCCCUGAGCCUUAGGCAACCCCUUUCUACCUGUAGUCUACUUUUGUAACCUUUCCUCAUAAGAUUGCUGACUGGAAUUUUUGCUUUCUGACCACCAUUGUUCACAGUUUAUCUUGGAGGAAAUGUAUGGGUUUUUUUUGUUUUGUUUUGUUUUGUUUUGUUUUCUGGUUUUUAUCCUUAGCUGGGAGAGUGAUGUUUCCUCCUUUGCUGAUAAGGACAGCAAUUGGCCAGACUCCAGGGUCUGAGGAAAUACAGUUGUAGAAACCGAAGGUUACCCUAUGGGUGGGCCAAUUCUUUGCACUGGAUUUUUAAUGUUUACUCCUGCAGGAGUACUUAAAUGUGAAAAAGUCAAAGUUCAAAGGGUAAAUAAUAUGUUUCACUUGAAUUUUUCUAAUACACUAUUUUAGUGUGUGUGUACCCAUAUAAAGAUGAGUAGCGUUUGGGUCUGGCUCACUGGGUGCAGUUUUUGCUUGCCAUGCUUAAAGCUCUGGGUUCAGUCACUGGCACCAUAAAAGCCAGGCUGCGGGGCAUACACCUGGUAUCCCGGAGCACAGGCAGUCCAUCAGAAGAAGCGAAGGUUCUCCUCUUACAUAAGGAAUUUGAGGCCAACCUGGGUUAGAGAACCUGUCUCAAAAAAGG
Molecule: long non-coding RNA, 3759 nt
Filed under: Mus caroli (Ryukyu mouse)
Lineage: Eukaryota; Metazoa; Chordata; Mammalia; Rodentia; Muridae
Description: lncRNA (MGP_CAROLIEiJ_G0004949.1)
Source: RNAcentral